UACAGAGGGUGCGAGCGUUAAUCGGAGUUACUGGGCGUAAAGGGCGCGUAGGCGGUUAUAUGAGUGUGAUGUGAAAGCCCCGGGCUUAACCUGGGAAGUGCAUCGCAAACGAUAUAGCUGGAGUAUAUGAGAGGGUGGCGGAAUUUCCGGUGUAGCGGUGAAAUGCGUAGAGAUCGGAAGGAACGUCAAUGGCGAAGGCAGCCACCUGGCAUAAUACUGACGCUGAGGCGCGAAAGCGUGGGGAGCGAACAGG
Molecule: ribosomal RNA, 253 nt
Filed under: uncultured bacterium
Lineage: Bacteria
Description: partial 16S ribosomal RNA
Rfam family: Bacterial small subunit ribosomal RNA
Source: RNAcentral